CCUACGGGUGGCAGCAGUAGGGAAUCUUCCACAAUGGGCGAAAGCCUGAUGGAGCAACGCCGCGUGGGUGAAGAAGGUCUUCGGAUCGUAAAACCCUGUUGUUAGAGAAGAAAGUGCGUGAGAGUAACUGUUCACGUUUCGACGGUAUCUAACCAGCAAGCCACGGCUAACUCCGUGCCAGCAGCCGCGGUAAUACGGAGGGUGCAAGCGUUGUCCGGAAUCAUUGGGCGUAAAGGGUUCGUAGGCGGCAUGUAAAGUCAGGUGUUAAAGGCGCAGGCUCAACCUGUGUAUGGCACUUGAUACUUGCAAGCUGGAGUGCGGUAGAGGUAAAGGGAAUUCCUGGUGUAGCGGUGAAAUGCUUAGAUAUCAGGAGGAACAUCGGUGGCGUAAGCGCUUUACUGGGCCGUAAUUGACGCUGAGGAACGAAAGCGAGGGUAGCAAAUGGGAUUAGAUACCCCAGUAGUC
RNAcentral lists this ribosomal RNA (465 nucleotides) under uncultured bacterium. RNAcentral describes it as "partial 16S ribosomal RNA". It matches the Rfam family "Bacterial small subunit ribosomal RNA", at positions 338 to 795 of the family's 1533-position model. The record is from RNAcentral.